CGGCUCCCGCCGUUCUGUCGUGGGAGGAGAAAUUAUGUACUGUGGCUUUAAGGCCAAGCCUACCUUAUGUCCACAAAUAAAGACUGCUUCCUGUCAGUCCUGUCAACACUUAUAUGCGGAUCGACCAUUACACUUGGAGCCCACGCAGCAAGAAAGUGUAAGGACAGACAUGGUGGACUCGGAACAGGUCCUGGGCGGUAAGGCCCCGAUGGGGCUGGUCCUGGUGCUUCUCCUUUCCAGCCUGCUGGGGCCUCUGGGACAAGUACAAGCUCAAGAUUGUGAGAAACCUAUGAGAGACACCAUGAGUUUAACAGAUGAAGACAUCCAGAAAGAGCAUUUUCCCAGCGGAUCAUUUGUAACAUUUGAGUGUGCAAUGGGAUACAGGAGUACUGGAGGAUCUGGUAAAACCACUUGUGUGGCUGGGACAUGGAUACCUUCGACACUUAGUUGCGAGAUGGUUCGCUGCAAAGCGCCGUUUAUUCCAAAUGGUUCGCAAAAGUCUGGAGCCCGCCCUCCGUAUGUACACAGGAGUUUGGUUGAGUACGAAUGUAACCCUGGAUUUAAGAUGGAAGGGGAGGGGGUCAUGACCUGCCUACUGAACAGCACAUGGUCAUCAACGCCAGAGUGCAAAGCAAUUAUCAUCACCACAACCCCCACUACCACUACUACCACCCCUACAACCAUGACCCCAAAGACCCCCGCCACCACCCAAAAAGACGUUCCCCCUGUUGAUCCAACAAGUUUUCCCGUUCGCCCUGUUGAUCCAACAAGUUCUCCCGUUCCCCCUGUUGAUCCAACAAGUUCUCCCGAUGAUUCCAAAACAUGGUCGCAGUCCUGGUGGUUUAUAGGACUAAUCAUAGGUAGGUUUUAUGGUCUUUAACACCUGCAUGCACAUUAUUUAAGUUCUUUCAUUAUAUUUCUCUGAAUUGCAUUAAUCUUUCCGAUUGAAGGUCUAAGGACAAAGAUUUGGUUGAAAGGUUCACAUUUUAAUCAAGGGCUGAUAAAUCAUCGAUUGGUGAUGAGAGAUUUCAUUUCAGCCAUUGCAAACGAAUGAUGUUACAAUUCACAUUUUUUUUUUCAUGUCCAGCAAAUAUUGCAUAUGCUUGAGGAUAAUUAAGUUCUAACUUAAAGGUCGGGUAUGGGAUUUGCGAAACGCCAGCAGAUUUUGAAAACACACAACUCAAAUGGUCCUACCCCCUCUCCUUCAACGCUGACUCUAACUCCACCCAUUCCAAGUACAUGGACGCGCAAUUAUGCACGAGCGCGAACACAGAUGCGCGAGAACAAGCCAUUAGCUAGUUAGCUAGCUCCAGUAGCUACCGCAGGAUAACAAUAAACAGAAGCUUGCUCUGGGUCACGAGCUUUGAGUAUGUACACGAAGGGGUCGCACGGGGAGCGGGGGAGGGGAGGGCGAGUGCAGUUCGACCGUUUGAUUGACGUACUUACCGUCCAAUGCCACUCGGUGGGUCUGGAAAUCAUUGGCUGGGGUUUUUCGAGCCCUGCCCGUUCCUCAGAUGAUUGACUUGCUAAUUUUCAUGUCAGUACUUCUAACUCAGUGGCUGUAAGUGGGUUACGAUAAGGAUUUCAAGUAAUUUUGCAAAAAUGGCCCAAAAAAGAAAAUUCCAUACCCAACCUUUAAAAAGUGCAAAUAAAAAUGUCUGCCAGCCUAAUGCUCGAUAAUCUACGUGUGACAAGCCACCUAAAGGGUUUGAAACCAGCCCUUUAGCACCAACUACACACAGUGAGAGGAAAUGAUGACCAAACAAUUUAGUCAUUAAAGUGAUGGACAAAAACGCUUAUGAUGCAGCUUCAAACCAAAUCUUAUUUUGCUGACAAAUUACUCGGGAUACCCAAUAAAUGCAUUUAUUUUUCUACAGAGGCCAAUGCGCGAUUAUUUUUCCUUGUAAAUUCAUACAUCUCACUCUUUUCCCAAAAUAGUUAUUCUCAUAAUCAUCAUAUCCCUCACCUUUUGGCUAAUUCGGAAAAAGAGAGGCUCUCAAUCUCUUCGUGCUCCAGUUCCAGUAGAGGAAGACAAGAUAUUGUAGGCUGGUUGCCCUGACGAUGUUCUACUGAUUACCACACCAAGCCGAGAGGGAAGAAUUAACACUAGACCAGGAUUUGAAUGUAAUCUCCCGCCAUAUGCAAACAAUUCAACUGGGGUCCACAGUCAAUAUAAUUGGCACAGUUGGAUGCUUGCCAGGAAAUAUAAUGCAUCCUGUAUUCAUCCAUAUGUAUCUCCUGUUCUUCUCAAUCAGAGGAGUGUUUUUUGGUGCACGCAUGCUUUUCUAAUCAAUCUGGAAUCUGUUCACUUGGCAUCUGAAGGACAUCGAUCACAAAAUCAUAUUGCUUUGGCUUAAGCAUAGCUUACUCCAAUGAAUGCUUCUGAAUUAAUGCUGUAUUAGAUUGAUAGUGUUGCAUUCAAUUAUUUAUUUAUCUUCCACCUUCAACAUGUUUAUUUGCCACGUUUUAAGUUUUGAGAAAAGGUCAAUGCGUUUGAUAGAAACAUUUCUGGCUGCAUUUGCUGCCAAAAGUACAAUUAUUUGGUUGAUUACUUUGCCAUCAACCCUGUAUUGUAAACCUUAUUGUAGAUUGAUUUUUGUUAAGAAAAUAAAAUGGAGCCGUUUUGUAUUGCUACUCGUUCUUGGUUGGUCUAUUUGGCCUUGGUCGUUUUGAACCCAAUUUAUGGUUGUAAGCAGAUGAAUUAAACAAGCACUUUUUGGAGGGGCUUGUUUUUAACCAAUGGGUUGUUGUUUAGUUGUGGAGUUGACGUUAUUGGGUUGGAUGUGUGAAUGUAAAAUAAAAUGUUUUUUUUCCUGUGGUCCCCCACUCAAAUCUCUAAAUGUGGAGAUAAAACAUUUAUAUUGAUUUGAAAUUAAUCAUCGCCCAAUGUUUGAGGUAUGUAUUUUUUGACAAUUUGCACUUAUAGGCUUUGCUGGGGCCGUAGCGCCAUGGAAUUAACAUUCUGUGCUUGUAAAUAAUCUAAAUGAGGUAUAAAUAUGUGUGCAGAUCAAAUCUGAAGCCUCUGAUCAUUGUGUUCCAAUCGUUUGCUAUCGAUUUUCCACAUUCUAAAUGUGACAAAAUGUGAAAAGCGAAAUAAAUCUAUUGACGCCAUUUAAAAAUAUCUAUCAAAAUGGUCAACUGCAUUAGUAAUAUCCAUAAUUUAUUAGCAUUGUAUUUCAUUGUGCCUUGACAACCAUUUGAUAUGAACAUGAGCUUGAAAUUAUAAAAAUGAUUAAAGUACUUCCGUCCA
This is an RNA transcript of Gadus macrocephalus (Pacific cod), 3250 nucleotides long. It is a transcript of the gene named membrane cofactor protein-like, with no coding region annotated. Lineage: Eukaryota; Metazoa; Chordata; Actinopteri; Gadiformes; Gadidae. The transcript has 11 exons. The record is from RefSeq and is a predicted model, not a curated record.